RNAcentral lists this long non-coding RNA (2815 nucleotides) under Toxoplasma gondii VEG. Lineage: Eukaryota; Apicomplexa; Conoidasida; Eucoccidiorida; Sarcocystidae. The record is from RNAcentral.
CUCGCGGAAAAGCUGCUCGAUUUCUCCGUCGCUCUUCGACGAUAGGCGCACCGUUCCACCGUUCCAUGAACCAUGUGUAUAGAUCUCUGAGAGGUGGGGAAAGCUUCGAGUCAUAGCGUGUAGAAAUCCACCACUGACACGGACCGAUAUGCAGGGACUGAAGUGUAUAUCAACGAGUAGCAGUCGACCAUCCCAUACCGGUUGGAGAAAACACUAGGUCUGUGGAAGAUGAUAUGGAAACGUAUCCAGUGUAGAGUUUAAACUUAACGCAGCCCACGCUUCUAGGGCUGCAAGAACCAAUUAAAUGCAAGUAGAAGGUCUCGACAGACAGACCGACUGGUUCGUGGCAGUGAAUGGAUGUAACGUCUAGAACGAGGAGACGCUGCAUUCGCCAGCAUUGGCCGGGCCUCGCUGAGUGCUGGAGACGCAAGUGUCGAAACGUCGAAUGGCAAGAGCGUCUCCUUUUUUCAGGGUGAUCAAGCGUAGUCUCGGAGGUGAAAGACGGAGAAAAGUGGAAGAAAAGGACUUUUCUGUGUUGAGCAGUGGAGGCGCCUUUCUCCCCUUCCGGCCGUACCUACAACCACGGUGAGGACGCUCGAGGGGAAGAUCUGCGGAGGUUCUUCUUCGUCUUCGCUAGCCCACAGACUGGCGGUUUCCAGAUUUUCUGCGUCUCCGAUCGGCGGUGCCAGCCGGCGAGCACUUAAGAAACAGCGAAUUUCAAGCCCGUUCUCCCCGCGUUUUUGACCUCGUUCUUCUUCCAGAAUUCUGCUGAUGUCGAGAGCUGCGACUGCCCAGUCUCGCUUUCCUCUUUUCUCUUUGCCUUUGCGAGAACCUUUCAAAGUCAGACGCACAGUGUCUCGGAGCUCUUUCGAGGCCCCACCCAUCCCUGCGGGAAACAGCCUGCACUUCCCCUCGACAGCAUAGACCUCAUCGGCGUCCGCUUCGCCUGUCUCGCCAUCCUCUCCCUCUUCCGGCGCUCCCAGUUCUUCUUCGUUUCCACUGUGCACCUUGCUUCUGCGGCGUCUUGCCGAGCUUCGGCCGAGACCUGGAGUUUGCUGAGGGCCUCUCAGCUUCGCCCUGAGGGCGACAAGAUAGCGCGGCGGAGUUUGGCUCUGGAUUUUGUGGGAGACGGGUAUGAAGAAAGAGAGUUUUUCGAACAGAAUGACGGGACCUGGCAGAUCCCAAGUUCCGCUGUCCUCGAAUGUUCGCCCGGCGUCUCGGCACUCGCCGCUCUCGAGAGCCUUCCAAGCUCGGGGCGCUCCCAACAUCUUCUCAGGCUCUUUCGGCCCUCUCUGCGGAGCUCCGUUUUCCGUCUUCUCUUCUGAGAAGGACGAAGAAGCUGUAGAGUGGUCAGGCCUCUUGCAGGCUUCGCGGGUCCCAUACACGGAGAGAAACAACGCCUCGAGACUCUGCGCUGGGGUCUCUGUCUCGCACUCGCCUCCCGACGGACCGUACGCCGAAGCAGGAAAUUUUAGCGAGAAGAAGCGACCUAACGGAACAGAAAGCACAAAAUCGUGCCACAGGAUAAACAAGAGAAAGAAAACACGCUCAAGCGCAUACAUAAAGAGAUAUGCGUCCCCUCCCACACACAUACAUACACACACAUGUGCAUAUAUUUGUCUAUAAGCUGGUGUGGCCGCGACAGUGUGUCUACCGCUUACUGAAAGUCAAACCGUCCACAGGGGAAAUGUAACUGGCCUAGCAUCCCUGCAUUGCUCAGAACUACGCGUGUACCAUUUUUGCCUUUGUAAAAGCGAAGGGAGGAACACACCAAGGGCAACCCGUAGGUCUGCCAGCUAUCUGGUUCUCCAGUUGCGCGGUUUAGUGAAGAGAGUUGAAGCUGGGAGCGCCCGUCGUGUGGGAGACGCCCGCGAGGCUGGUCGAAAUCUGUUCUGCAGCGUGUGUAUUUUUAGAGGGCUGUUUUCCCUGAAGUGCUACUCUAACUUUGUGUGUGGAGUUUGAGUGUUUUUGUAAAAGUCGAUACCUACGCUCUGCGGUUCAGCACGGAAACUGUAAUCGUGUUGCUUUCGACGUGACUGUUUCAAGAAUUGAUUCUUGGAAAGCAGCGAGGAAACGUCUCGCAGAACGCUCGUUGCCUCGAUGCUUUCUUCCCGACUCACCUGCUCCACUUGUGGCGGCGCCAAGCAUCGCGGCGUCCCGAGUAACAUUUGGGAGGUUUUCUGCCUGAACGGGGAAAACCUCUCGGGCAACAGUUCCUGUGGGGGCAAGAUCGACAAGGGCGGCGAUGCUGCAGUCAAAGAAAAGAGAAGUCGAGGAGGCGGAAGAAGACAAAAUGCGUUCUGAGGAAGUGUGAAUCCCCGACGCUCAAGAACCGUUUUUCCACUUCAACAAAUGCUCUUAGAAUACAAGGAAAAAGCCGCACGCAUAGUGCUAAACGAGAAGACUUCCAUGAUGUGUUGGGAAGAAAGGACAUCCAAAAAUUCGGAACUUCCCUUCUUUUACCUAAACAGUGGCGAGUAGGAUUAGAAGAAACCUGUAUCUGUUUACCACUUAGGAACGGCAUUUUAAGUUGCUAAGCUAGAACUUCAAACAAGAGGAGUCGGCGUUAUCGAAGCCGCCAUGAAACCGAGAGACGGAAAAAUUCGAGAGUCAAAGGGCAAGAAGUCCAAGCGCCGGAGAGGCGAAAAAGGAACCUGCAUAAAAUACGUGUAGUCGGCUUCAUGUGAAUACCUGCUUUCGACACAUUCAAUUAUGUGGUUUGUUGUAUUCUUGGCUUGGAUAUAAAGACCUCUGCUUUCCUUUUUUCAUCCCGUCUAACGCUCUACUCAGUCUCUUUGAAGAGAUUAAAAGCUCG